This 492-nucleotide ribosomal RNA is filed under the name uncultured bacterium. Its description in RNAcentral is "partial 16S ribosomal RNA". It matches the Rfam family "Bacterial small subunit ribosomal RNA", at positions 29 to 507 of the family's 1533-position model. The record is from RNAcentral.
AGUGAACGCUGGCGGUAGGCCUAACACAUGCAAGUCGAACGGCAGCACAGUAAGAGCUUGCUCUUACGGGUGGUGAGUGGCGGACGGGUGACGAAUACAUCGGAAUCUACUUUUUCGUGGGGGAUAACGUAGGGAAACUUACGCUAAUACCGCAUACGACCUACGGGUGAAAGCAGGGGAUCUUCGGACCUUGCGCGAUUGAAUGAGCCGAUGUCGGAUUAGCUAGUUGGCGGGGUAAAGGCCCACCAAGGCGACGAUCCGUAGCUGGUCUGAGAGGAUGAUCAGCCACACUGGAACUGAGACACGGUCCAGACUCCUACGGGAGGCAGCAGUGGGGAAUAUUGGACAAUGGGCGCAAGCCUGAUCCAGCCAUACCGCGUGGGUGAAGAAGGCCUUCGGGUUGUAAAGCCCUUUUGUUGGGAAAGAAAAGCAGCAGGUUAAUACCCCGCUGUUCUGACGGUACCCAAAGAAUAAGCACCGGCUAACUUCGUG